Molecule: ribosomal RNA, 253 nt
Filed under: uncultured bacterium
Lineage: Bacteria
Description: partial 16S ribosomal RNA
Rfam family: Bacterial small subunit ribosomal RNA
Source: RNAcentral
UACGAGGGGUGCAAGCGUUGCUCGGAAUUAUUGGGCGUAAAGGGUAGGUAGGUGGUCUCAUUUGUCCGGGGUGAAAGCCUUGAGCUUAACUCAAGAAGUGCCCCGGAAACGGUGAGACUCGCGUACUGGAGAGGGUCGUGGAAUUCCCGGUGUAGCGGUGAAAUGCGUAGAGAUCGGGAGGAACACCAGAGGCGAAGGCGGCGACCUGGACAGUUACUGACACUCAACUACGAAAGCGUGGGGAGCAAACAGG